AUGAAGGGUUUGUGCUGUGAAAGGAACAUGGAUGAGGUGUUUGCACUUUAACCAUGCGGAAUCGACAUCAAGAGGUUUCGGAAACACAAUUUUUGUUUCUUGGAACUGCUGGUGAUGGUUUGUCUCCUCGCUCCA
This is a small nuclear RNA of Carcharodon carcharias (great white shark), 135 nucleotides long. RefSeq annotates it as U11 spliceosomal RNA. NCBI's taxonomy places the organism in Eukaryota, Metazoa, Chordata, Chondrichthyes, Lamniformes, Lamnidae. The transcript has a single exon. The record is from RefSeq and is a predicted model, not a curated record.